CGGUAGCGGCCUAAACUGGCAAGUCCGAAGCGGAUGACGGGAAGCUUUGCUCCUUGAUUCAGCGGCGGACGGGUGAGUAAUGCCUAGGAAUCUGCCUGGUAGUGGGGGACAACGUUUCGAAAGGAACGCUAAUACCGCAUACGUCCUACGGGAGAAAGCAGGGGACCUUCGGGCCUUGCGCUAUCAGAUGAGCCUAGGUCGGAUUAGCUAGUUGGUGAGGUAAUGGCUCACCAAGGCGACGAUCCGUAACUGGUCUGAGAGGAUGAUCAGUCACACUGGAACUGAGACACGGUCCAGACUCCUACGGGAGGCAGCAGUGGGGAAUAUUGGACAAUGUGCGAAGGCCUGAUCCAGCCGUGCCGAGUGUGUGAAAAAGG
This 377-nucleotide ribosomal RNA is filed under the name Pseudomonas sp. ABP29. RNAcentral's name for it is "bacterial SSU rRNA". It matches the Rfam family "Bacterial small subunit ribosomal RNA", at positions 40 to 414 of the family's 1533-position model. The record is from RNAcentral. Lineage: Bacteria; Pseudomonadati; Pseudomonadota; Gammaproteobacteria; Pseudomonadales; Pseudomonadaceae.